AACGCACAUUGCGCCCCCUGGUAUUCCGGAGGGCAUGCCUGUUCGAGCGUCAUUUUGACCCUCAAGCUCCGCUUGGUGUUGGGCGACUUGUUCCCCCCUUGGGGGACUCGCCUCAAAGUCAUCGGCGCCGGCGGCUCGGUCCGGAGCGCAGCAGAUUGCCGCUCCCGCACCCGCGGUCCGCCGGCUUCCGCAAGCCGCAGAUCUAAGCAGAAAACUUGACCUCGGAUCAGGCAGGGAUACCCGCUGAACUUAA
This 253-nucleotide unclassified non-coding RNA is filed under the name uncultured fungus. Its description in RNAcentral is "partial contains 5.8S ribosomal RNA, internal transcribed spacer 2, and large subunit ribosomal RNA". Lineage: Eukaryota; Fungi. The record is from RNAcentral.